AUCAUGCAAAGGGUCAGCUAAGUGCUAUGUUACAUCUUGUGGUUUGGUUUGUUUACUGGCCAAGGUCUGGCAGUAUUUUGAGGAGGUAGCAGUUACCGCUUUGCUUCCAGGGGCAGCAACUGUUCGUGCUAUUGUUCAUCUGCAACCCUGUUACCACUUCAGAGGUGAAAGCUGUUACCUUUGCACUUGUUUUCUUUUUACUUGGUCCAUCUUGUUAAAUGGAAGAGCAGAGGUAGAGUCAACAAGCUAAACUAGAACAAGGUUGCAAGAAGGUCAUGAUUAUAUCAAUAAUAGCUGAUGUAUGGAUAAGGAUAAAAUUAGGAGGCAUCAUUCCAUAUUUCCGUCCUGUGUUUAGUUCUUUACAGUUAGUUUUCCUUGAAGUCGUAGUAACAACUUUGCUACAGUUCAGCCAAGUAAGAAUAUAAAUCUUAAGUCUAAUCCAUGUUCUCCAUGUGACAGGAUAAAUUGCAAUGUUCUUAGUAACAUCGCUAGCAGAUACAGCCUCUGACCUGAGAUCAUCAUCAUCAUAAAAGCAAGCAUCUCAGUCCAGAAGUUUGCUAUGGAAUUACUGCUCCUCAUUUUUAAUGGCAAACAACAGAUUUGUGAUUGUGUGUUGCUACAAGAGGUUAAACAGAAGAAUAGAUGGAUGAAGCCACCUAGGCAAUGCUGAGAGUCAAAGGCAGAUUGCAAACCCUGUCUUUUUCUUUGCUAAUGAAUACCUUAUUUUUUAAACCCCCAAAAUAUU
This is a long non-coding RNA of Cygnus atratus (black swan), 745 nucleotides long. RefSeq lists it as uncharacterized. The record is from RefSeq and is a predicted model, not a curated record. The transcript is spliced from 3 exons. NCBI's taxonomy places the organism in Eukaryota, Metazoa, Chordata, Aves, Anseriformes, Anatidae.